UAGGGAAUUUUCCACAAUGGGCGAAAGCCUGAUGGAGCAACGCCGCGUGCAGGAUGAAGGCCCUCGGGUCGUAAACUGCUUUUAUCUGUGACGAUUAUGACGGUAGCAGAUGAAUAAGGAUCGGCUAACUCCGUGCCAGCAGCCGCGGUCAUACGGAGGAUCCAAGCGUUAUCCGGAAUUACUGGGCGUAAAGAGUUGCGUAGGUGGCAGAGUAAGCAAAUAGUGAAAGCGUGAGGCUCAACCUCAUACACAUUAUUUGAACUGCUCAGCUUGAGUAUGGGAGAGGUAGAUGGAAUUCCCUGUGUAGGAGUGAAAUCCGUAGAUAUAGGGAGGAACACCGAUGGCGUAGGCAGUCUACUGGCCCAUUACUGACACUAAGGCACGAAAGCGUGGGGAGCAAACGGG
Molecule: ribosomal RNA, 405 nt
Filed under: uncultured bacterium
Lineage: Bacteria
Description: bacterial SSU rRNA
Rfam family: Bacterial small subunit ribosomal RNA
Source: RNAcentral